AGCGAACACGUUCGUACCGGUUGGCUGUGAACUACCACUGAACGUCACCGUAUAUGAUUUCUUCUCAUUUGCUUGGCUAAAACUCAAAGUCUGUGGUUCAACUGAUAUCUUAACUCCUGGAGUUUCAGGUGAUACCGAUACCUUGUAAGUUCCUGGCGAGCCCACAUUGGUGAGAGUUCGAGUGUGUUUAACAACAUUCGACCCACCCAUGACCGAAUCAAAAUUGACAGCAAAGGAAGGGUAGUUGAGAUCAGUGACUCUGUAUCUCUUGCUAGCAUCACAUGAGAAGUUUCUUCUCGCCAGGGAUCUGAUUUGGAACUCUGUGUAGUUCAAGGCACAAAGGAAACCCAGAUAAUCUUCCGCUGUCAAAUCAUACACAAGCCCUGGAUUAAGC
This 394-nucleotide long non-coding RNA is filed under the name Gossypium raimondii (Peruvian cotton). RNAcentral describes it as "long non-coding RNA (GRAI_LNC005446)". The record is from RNAcentral. Lineage: Eukaryota; Viridiplantae; Streptophyta; Magnoliopsida; Malvales; Malvaceae.